AUUAUCCUGAAAUGUGCGUUAGGGUAUUAUAAUUCAACCUACAUUGCGACAUUGGGAGCCUGCGUUUUCGUCAGCCUAUGUCAUGCCUCCUGUGAGGACGACAGAAGCGGAAACAGGGCACCCCCCUAUUGAAAGAUAGGGCGUGAAUUAUAUCCUCGACGGCAUCUCGGGAUUUUU
This 177-nucleotide non-coding RNA is filed under the name Candidatus Allocopromorpha excrementavium. Its description in RNAcentral is "6S RNA". It matches the Rfam family "6S / SsrS RNA". From Rfam's summary of the family: E. coli 6S RNA was the first non coding RNA to be sequenced, but its function was unknown until recently. Lineage: Bacteria; Bacillati; Bacillota; Clostridia; Eubacteriales; Eubacteriaceae. The record is from RNAcentral. RNAcentral also lists the same sequence under 1 other name.